GAUGAACGCUGGCGGCGUGCCUAAUACAUGCAAGUCGAGCGAACAGACGAGGAGCUUGCUCUUCUGACGUUAGCGGCGGACGGGUGAGUAACACGUGGAUAACAUUCCUCUAAGACUGGGAUAAUUUCGUGAAACCGGAGCUAAUACCAGAUAAUAUAUUGAACCGCAUGGUUCAAUAGUGAAAGACGGUUUUGCUGUCACUUAUAGAUGGAUCCGCGUCGGAUUAGCUAGUUGGUAAGGUAACGGCCUACCAAGGCAACGAUGCGUAGCCGACCUGAGAGGGUGAUCAGCCACACUGGAACUGAGACACGGUCCAGACUCCUACGGGAGGCAGCAGUAGGGAAUAUUCCACAAUGGGCGAAAGCUUGACGGAGCCAUGCCGCGUGAGUGAUGAAGGUCUUCGGAUCGUAAAACUCUGUUAUUGGGGAAGAAAAAAUGCAUAUGAAACUAUGCACGUCUUGACGGUACCUAAACAGAAAGCCACGGCUAACUACGUG
Molecule: ribosomal RNA, 497 nt
Filed under: uncultured bacterium
Lineage: Bacteria
Description: partial 16S ribosomal RNA
Rfam family: Bacterial small subunit ribosomal RNA
Source: RNAcentral